CCUCCAGUCGCCAUGCAGGGCAAGUGGAUGCUUUAGAAGCUCGCCUCACAUUCAGCAGGGCUCAGCUCCUGCCCGGCACCGGGACCUCCCGCACACACACCCGGAUGGAAGCAGGGACCCCACAACAGCAGGGCCAGGGUUCUAGAAGCGUGGCUUUUGUGACAGACUGAUCUCAGACUGGCUUCCACUUCAUACAACUAUGAAAAGCAUUUCUGCUCUUCUGCUGGAACAACUACUCACAGGUUUCCUCAAACGUAACUAAAAAGCUGAUUUUGUAAGUCCCGCAAGCUAAAGAGAAGCCUGGUACCCAUACUGUGCUCUGGAGCCUGUUCUGAAUGUAGGUCACAGAGACAGGCCUACGUCUCCCCAUCAGCAAGUGCUGCACAGCAGAGCUGAGGGCUGCCAGUGGCAGCCUGCAAUGGCUUUCUCGUUUUAUUUUUAAACCAAGAAAUAUCUUUAGACUACAGCCUAAACAAAGCCUUGUGAUGACCUCCAAGUGAGUCGGCCUGAAAUACAUGGAUAACAUGGUGUUCAGAGCAGAGCCAGCUUCAUAACCCAGCUUCAGAAAUUAGGGUUCAUGAGGGCUUCUAUGCCCACAACAGAAGCUCUAGAACCAAACUCACCUGCCUCCCAACCCCCUGCCCAAGACACAUCGCUGCUUUAAGUCUGGAUCAGGACCAGGGAUUUCUGGAGAAGAACCAGAGCUAUGAUAGAGUUCACACAUCCUGCAGGAAAAGCACGGGAUGGGCAUCAACAGACCUUAUCUUCAGCAUCUGUCCUGAAACACAAUGCUGCUGCAUCAUCUAUGUUAGCAUGAGACUUCCCAAAAACAGCGUCUGCAAGAGUUGUGACCAGCUUUGAAUCAGUAGAUUCAAGUGCCCCAAUCUUCUUUUUGGACUCCACGCUCCCAAGAGAAAACUGAAGCUCCUGGUAGCAAGCAAUAGACAGCUGCACAUCUGGAACUGCUCCUGAGCACCACGUGCCCUGAGGAGGGAACCUCAGAGCAGCACCAGCAGCUCCACACACCAUUGACCUUUGCAGAGCAUGUGCACUUACCAGCCUGUAGGGCUGCUACCGCCAGGUGGAUAAUGGAUCAUAUAAAGCUCAAGAAGGCCUUCAAGGGACCAAAACAUUUUCCACUUAAUUUUGGCCUACAAUUAUCUCAUCUGUUGUCAGUCUCCACAAUACACACCCCUCGGAUGUGAGCAGCAGAGCCACAAUUAUAACUCAUGCCAGGACCUCAGAACGUAGCACCUUUCUUGAUGGGAGCUGCCCUGACCCUGAGCUGCGGGAUGGUCCAGGCACCACGGCCUUCAGCUGCACCAGAGGCUGCAGAAAUGGAAGGGAUUCACUCCAGGCGCCUGGGAAGGUCUCGGGGCUUGGUGACAGCAGUCAUCUGUCAUUCCAGUUGUGGAAGACUCAAUGGUAAAGAAGUGCUCUCAAAUGCUAGACGGCCGCCAGUCCUACAGGCAACUUUUACUCCAGCUAUAAACCAUACUUAGCCAAGACCAUAUGAAAUCCAUCAACCUCAGCUGGUAACAGUGUUCAUUAUAGCAGCACAGGCUCAGCAAGAUAACUGCAGAGGAAGGGAGAAGUACCAGUGAAAAAGCCACAGAGGGAAUGAGCUCAGUAUUUCCCAGGCAUUAUCAGCAGGCCUAGGCACCAUCAGCAGGAAUGAAAAGGAAAGUAAGAUUUGCUCAGGGAUGUAUGCGGAAGGGAAGGCUGAUGGAUAAAAGGGCUGAAAGAAACAGAAAAAGCAGGAGCAGGUUGAUCUGUAAAAAGAAAAGGUGCAAGAGGAAGGGCAAGAACCAGGACUAUAUCUGUCACUCGUCUCUCUCCGCCCACUCAGAGAGGCUUCAAAAGAGAUCUGGAAAGAGAGAGGGAAAAAAAAAAACCUGACAGAUAUUACUGUUCCAGCCACUGAGUCAUGGCAGGAAACUACUGAUAUUGUAAACUAGUACUAUAAGGUCAGAUGCUAUUUGAGUUUUUACCAAGGCUCACUGUAAGGGGAACAAUUAUUCAGUGCUGUGGAUUUGUCCCUUUUGUAAUUACUGGUGUUACCGUGGAACCGUUUCAUCAAGCUUUGUUAAAAAAAAAAAUAAAUAAAUCUGCCUGUAUUUGAAAACA
Molecule: non-coding RNA, 2127 nt
Organism: Coturnix japonica (Japanese quail)
Lineage: Eukaryota; Metazoa; Chordata; Aves; Galliformes; Phasianidae
Source: RefSeq, a predicted model, not a curated record